CUACGGGAGGCAGCAGUGAGGAAUUUUCGGCAAUGGGGGAAACCCUGACCGAGCGACGCCGCGUGAGGGAUGAAGGCCUCCGGUUUGUAAACCUCUGUCUAGAGGGACGAUAAUGACGGUACCUCUGGAGGAAGCCACGGCUAACUACGUGCCAGCAGCCGCGGUAAGACGUAGGUGGCGAGCGUUGUCCGGAAUUACUGGGCGUAAAGGGCGUGUAGGCGGCCUUUUGAGUCAGACGUGAAACCCCUGGGCUCAACCCUGGGACUGCGUUUGAAACUGGGAGGCUUGAGGACAGGAGAGGAAAGCGGAACUCCGUGUGUAGCGGUGAAAUGCGUAGAUAUACGGAAGAGCACCAGUGGCGAAGGCGGCUUUCUGGACUGUCCCUGACGCUGAGGCGCGAAAGCCAGGGGAGCGAACGGGAUUAGAUACCCCGGU
This 435-nucleotide ribosomal RNA is filed under the name uncultured bacterium. RNAcentral's name for it is "bacterial SSU rRNA". It matches the Rfam family "Bacterial small subunit ribosomal RNA", at positions 339 to 791 of the family's 1533-position model. The record is from RNAcentral.